GAUGAACGCUGGCGGCGUGCCUAAUACAUGCAAGUCGAGCGAACAGACGAGGAUCUUGCUCCUCUGACGUUAGCGGCGGACGGGUGAGUAACACGUGGAUAACCUACCUAUAAGACUGGGAUAACUUCGGGAAACCGGAGCUAAUACCGGGUAAUAUAUUGAACCGCAUGGUUCAAUAGUGAAAGACGGUUUUGCUGUCACUUAUAGAUGGAUCCGCGCCGCAUUAGCUAGUUGGUAAGGUAACGGCUUACCAAGGCAACGAUGCGUAGCCGACCUGAGAGGGGGAAGGGCGACACUGGAACUGAGAGACGGUCCAGACUCCUACGGGAGGCAGCAGUAGGGAAUCGUCCGCAAUGGGCGAAAGCCUGACGGAGCAACGCCGGGUGGGUGAUGAAGGGCUUCGGAUCGGAAAACUCUGUUAUUAGUGAAGAACAAAUGUGUAAGUAACUAUGCACGUCUUGACGGUACCUAAUCAGAAAGCCACGGCUAACUACGUG
Molecule: ribosomal RNA, 497 nt
Filed under: uncultured bacterium
Lineage: Bacteria
Description: partial 16S ribosomal RNA
Rfam family: Bacterial small subunit ribosomal RNA
Source: RNAcentral